Triticum urartu is the source of this 125-nucleotide non-coding RNA. Lineage: Eukaryota; Viridiplantae; Streptophyta; Magnoliopsida; Poales; Poaceae. The record is from Rfam.
CAAGUACUCCCUUAGUUCGGAAAUACUUGUCCGAGAAAUGAAUGUAUUUAAAUGUAUUUUAGUUCUAGAUACAUCCAUUUGUAUUCAUUUCUGCGGCAAAUAUUUCCGGACGGAGGGAGUACUAG